AACAUCACUAAGUCCACUGGCCAACACUAGUCUGUCGAUCAAAAAUUUUUGACAAUCGAAGAUAAUGUGUUCCACAGUUCCAUCACUUGAAUUACAAUGUGAACAUGUUUUAUUCGCAAUAAUGCCGAGUCGAGCAAGGUGUGACGGUGCAGUAUUAUGACCAAAACGCAGUCUAUUUAUGAUAGUAAUAAAGUCUCGAGGAGCAUCUUGCAUACGAUGAUACCAAGGUCUUGCAGAAAUAUAUCGGACAUUGUUGGAGAAUUACCACAUAUUAGACCUUGUGCUGUUGUUAACGGUAUUCUUGGGGAUCUAUCUAUAUAAGGUCAGAGAUUAAAGAGGUGAAACUGUCUGCACUACUACGCCCUCUACGGAAGCCAAAUUGUAUAGGUGGAAUGAAACACUUAGAUUCAACAUACCAAUCAAGACGGACUUUCACCAUAUUUUCGAAUAUUUUACCAAGACAGGAUGACAAG
Long non-coding RNA from Pieris napi, 473 nucleotides. RefSeq lists it as uncharacterized. The transcript is spliced from 3 exons. The record is from RefSeq and is a predicted model, not a curated record. NCBI's taxonomy places the organism in Eukaryota, Metazoa, Arthropoda, Insecta, Lepidoptera, Pieridae.